Molecule: ribosomal RNA, 256 nt
Filed under: uncultured bacterium
Lineage: Bacteria
Description: partial 16S ribosomal RNA
Rfam family: Bacterial small subunit ribosomal RNA
Source: RNAcentral
UGGCGGACGGGUGAGUAAUGUCUGGGAAACUGCCCGAUGGAGGGGGAUAACUACUGGAAACGGUAGCUAAUACCGCAUAACGUCGCAAGACCAAAGAGGGGGACCUUCGGGCCUCUUGCCAUCGGAUGUGCCCAGAUGGGAUUAGCUAGUAGGUGGGGUAACGGCUCACCUAGGCGACGAUCCCUAGCUGGUCUGAGAGGAUGACCAGCCACACUGGAACUGAGACACGGUCCAGACUCCUACGGGAGGCAGCAUG